GUCGUCUUAAGUAGACAUGAAUAUGUCGGGUAAGCCCAACGAGCGUUUCGGUGCUAGUCUGCGUCUUUGUCAAGAGCUAACCGGUAUGUUGGUUGGUGCCACUUUUUAAAUCUCUAUAAGCUCCGCACAUGAAAUCCAUGACGUCAUCGUCAUUCCCUGACUGAGUCAAUUAGUGGGCGGGGAUAGGGAAAUGAGUGGCCCGAUCGUGGUCUCGGCAUAGGGGAAAUGAAUGAACCCGCUCUCUGCCGAGUAUUGUCCUAAUCCUCAUGAUACAAACGUAGGGAACCACAGUAGUAUUGAUAGUCCGUUACAAAACAUAUUCAUGUCUGCUUAAGACGAC
Molecule: non-coding RNA, 340 nt
Organism: Pelobates cultripes (western spadefoot toad)
Lineage: Eukaryota; Metazoa; Chordata; Amphibia; Anura; Pelobatidae
Source: the annotation of a GenBank genome assembly